Molecule: transfer-messenger RNA, 355 nt
Filed under: Verrucomicrobiia
Lineage: Bacteria; Pseudomonadati; Verrucomicrobiota
Also listed under: 1 other name
Description: SIBK01 sp009695205 Standard tmRNA
Rfam family: transfer-messenger RNA
About the family: Bacterial tmRNA, also known as 10Sa RNA or SsrA, is named for its dual tRNA and mRNA-like properties. Its role is to liberate the mRNA from a stalled ribosome. To accomplish this part of the tmRNA is used as a reading frame that ends in a translation stop signal.
Source: RNAcentral
GGGGGCGUACUGGUUUCGACUGUACGAAUCCGCCCGGGACGGCAUGCCGAGGACGGUUCGUUGGCCUCGUAAAAAUAUCGAACCAAAACAUAGUUGCUAACACAGAGUUGGCUCUCGCGGCCUAACAGCCCCGACGUUCGUUCCUGAACACCUGCUACGGGAAACGAACGCCAUUAGCAGGCAUGGUUGUCGGCGGAGUUCGCGCGACGGCAGCCGAGAAACUUCAUGCGAGCUAGGCGAGGUUAUUCGUUGUUCGCCCGUCAUGGCCUCGUAGAAAAUCCUUGGUGAACUAAGCAUGUAGUCGGUCCGGGUUGAAGCGUUCAGGACGGGGGUUCAACUCCCCCCGCCUCCACCC